UUUAGAGCUUUUGUUUUCUGCCUGGCUGACCCAGCUGAGUUCUGCUGAGUAACACAAGUGGGUUAGGUUCCCAAGCACCUGUCAUGCAUGGAGGAGCUCAUCACUAAUCAAUAAGAUUUUUGCCUUGACUACCCUUAUCUGUAUCCACUGUAAUGAGAGAUUAGUUCUGACCAAGGUGCGGUUUGUUACCAUGGUUAAAACAGUGGAGAUUGACUGAUUUGAACUGAGGUAAUGGUCGUUUAGGUUGAGGAACUGAAGAAGAAGAACUGAGUAGCUACUCGUCAUUAGUGUAAAUGCAGAACACUAACCAGUAUGUUUGCACACAUUCACAACUAUAAGGUUAAUAGUCGAAUUUUUGUACAUUCAAAGAUGGCGUGUUAGUGUAACGUGUUAGUACCUAUGUUCCCCAGUGCCUGUACUUUCCAAGAUUUCUCAGCCAGGUCAAGUGCACAGACUCACGCACAUGCCACAGCUAGUCUCGCAGCUCAUCUUUUGGCUCCCAGAGGCUCUUUUCACAGGUGGCCAUCCAAUAAAAACACCAUCUUUUUUGAGCGUCAUCACCGCUGGUCAUCCAAUCACUGCGCUGGCCCAAUUGGAUGCUUCUUCCACCAUUAGAGGCUAAGCCAGUCCUGGUAGCAUGCGGGAUGACCGGAUGGGCUUAUCCGAUUUCAGCCUUCUCAUUCUACGUCAUCACCCCCAGGUCACCAAGCUCUGACCCCGCCUUUCAGGUGACACAACAUGGCGCAGGUUUCCACCACACUACUAAAACAAGACAGAUGAAAGUAGAGGAUGGAAGAGGGGAUACAUAUAGGGGCACUGCUAGAACGCAGUAAGUAAAACAAAAAAUAGGAUUGGACCAAUGAGAGGGUGCACCAAUGAGAGGGUCACCACUUCCCAUGGUGUCACUCCAGCCAGGGAGAGCUGAGCAGAAGGAGAGAGGAAGAGGAGGACGACAGGAGGAUAACAGCAAUGUGAUUCUUACGGAGUGUGCCCAAACCUAAGUUUACUGAUGCCAUUGUGUAGGUUCUUGAUGCUCUGGUCUGUCCAUUAAUCUAUUCUUCCCUAAUCUAACAGUAGGAAUGGAGAGAAAAGCUUGAAACAGACGCAAUUGUCUGUCGGACCAUUACUACCCUUGUCCGAACCUCGUAAGAGUCAAUUUAAUGAUGCUCUUAUUUAUGUCCUAAUGGGCUACCGUACUAUUGCAGCUCUGGCAGUGAACUAUGAAUUCAGCUUUAGCCAGGCAUACCUAUAGAAAGGGAGUAUCACAGGUUAACCGAGAGCCGUUACUCUGCACUAGAACUCCUGACCUCUUAGUUGAGCCCUACAUCUUAUACCUCAGGCCACAGGCUGACUUGGAUGUCUAGCACUGCGCUUAAAAUAUGAGGUCUUCUACUUUGGCCACAGCAAAGUUAGCCCCAUAUGGGCCCGGAGCAACAGCUCCAAAUGACAGUGAACCAAUUUGUGCCGUUAAUUGUUUGAUACUCUGUCUAACUGUGAGGAUAGAAAUAACUGGCGGCCAGUGUCAUGUCUUUUUUAUAUAGUGAUUCAAAUCAGAGAGAUUCUUGCUCGUCAAGAGGCAUCGGCUCAUUUCCCAAUUAACUUAAAGUUUUGCUUUCUCUUAUGAUGUCAUGGCUUCAAAAAACAUAAAUCUGAAGUUUUGUGGGGCUGACAAAAAAAGUACCUCUUGUUGGGUACAUUUGGCUCACAGCCAAUGUCUUUUUAAUCUGAUAGACUCUGUCUUGUGACUGGUUUAAAAAAAGAAAAAAAAAAGAAGAGAAAAAAAAAGAAAUGGAACACCGUGACCUCUGCCAUUUUAUGAACACAGCCUCUGGUGAUUUAACGCAUGUUUCCUCCUACUUUACUUAUCUUACUCUGUACGAUAAACUGAACUAAGUGUAAUAAACAAAUCUAAAAAUAGGGUUUCAGGUUCAUGUGAAAGCCAUCAAGCCACCGUUGGAUUACAAUGUUUAUGUCCUGUAAUCAGUUGAUGCUGUUAAAGGGGCAGACGUGGUCGUCUUGCCCUUUUUUCCUAUGCUGAUUUGGUGUGACGUGUUCAUGUCUCCUGACUGCCACGAGACUACAGGCCAACAAACCACUUUGCAGAACAAGCCAUUUAAUUGCGUUUCCUUUCCGGAUGGACCCUGACUGUGGGAGGGUCAAUGUUGUACAUCCUAUGUUGGUUUGUUUUACAGCUUUUGCUUCCUCGGGAUUAUGUCGUUGACACGGGCUUGCUACCCUGAGACUGCACACUCUUAUUUCAACAAGCAAAGAAAAUAUUAGUGUUUACUCUUGCCAAGGUUGAAUUACAUAUAAUAUAUAUCACAUUUCUAAUCAAACACCUCAUUGUUGUUAUAAACAGGACAUAUGAUGUAAAACCGGUUUGACACUUUCCCCUUUUCUUAUGUUUCUCAUAUUUCCUCUGUUAUGGACAUGUAAUAACACAUAGCCUUUAUUUAUAGGUUAUUACAUGACUAUGUUGUACUGAUUCAGUUUCUUACUUACUAUAUUAUCAACAUCAAAGGGUUUUAUGUUCUUUAUAGAGGAAUCACUGAUCCUAUGAAGGCCUCGUCCCCAGUUCUCAUGAUGACUUUUCGCCUUCGUGUUUUCAACCAAUUACUCUAUGCAUUAACAGUCGGCCAUGGGAACAGCCUGGGAGAGAUGAAGCCCUAAUAGCUGUCAACACCACCUAUGUGUGUGUCUGUGCCCUAGAUAGAACUUUCAUUGAUGGCAGUGUACUUCCUCAAGAGCAGCAGAUCAUUAACCUUUAAUGCUUAUGAAUGAGGUAGUCAAUGCUGAUGUUAUUGCCACCCAUAAGGCAUAGACCUAUCAAGGCACCAUGUUAUCUAUCAGCUUUAGUGCUGUGUAAUACGUAGUCAUUUUAAAUCAUUGCCAUAUUUUACAUACUGUACCUUUUUUGAGGUGGAUCUGGACAUUGCACAUUGCUGAAGGGUUAUGAAUGUAAUGUCAUGGAUGUAGGACUAAGCUAAAGAUACCAUUACGUGCCAUCUUUAAUAGGAAGAGACUGGAAGUACAAUGAUAUCGACGUAAGUGUAACUGUAUUUUGAGGGUCAGACCUCUGAAGAUUGAUGUGCCAUUGCCCUUUGAAGAGUUGUUACAUCACACAUAGCGAAGUGAAGCAUACUCCAUCUUAUCAAACCAAAUCGGAAGCAGUUUACAGCCAUUGGUAUCCGUGAGCAUAUGCAGUAUCCAUGACAACAAAGCAGGACAUAGCCAUAUAAAUGAUUUUGGAUGAGUACAUGGAAAAUCCAAACAACAAUAUGCUGAAAUUUAGUCGUUAGCCAUAACAGAGUGGAAUACUCGGAACAACGCAAGGUCAGUAGUGUGUGGCUAAAGGGACUGGUUUUCUUCCGUCCAGGCCUUGAUGACGUCACACUCCGUCUGAGUGAUUUAUAGAGUUCUAGUCACACAAUCCCUGACCUUUCCUUUGGUAGGAUUCCAGUUUUUCUUUUCUGAUGUCCAGAACAAAAACUUAGCAGCUGCAUCUGAGCAGCUUCCACAUUGACAAAUCUGUGUCCUGAAACAAUUCCUGUAAUGUAAUGCAGUCAUUCAAACAACUGAAGGUAUAGUCUACCCUUUUUUCAAUGGAAACCACUUUAUCUGUCUGUCUACUAUCAUAUCAAUCUGUCUUUGUUUCCUCAAAUGGCUAAUUCAAGACCUAUAGUUCCUUCCAUUACAAUUUUACAGAACAGUGGCAUGGGACUUCCAGGCCUGUUUCCCUGACGUCCUGUCAAAACCCUCCAUGCUCUGUAACCUCUUUAUUCCUUUCAUUAAAGCUUCUCUCUACCAUUUAAGAGGGCCAAUCAGUGACAUAUCGUCAUUCUGUUCCUUUGCCAAGCCCAUGUCAACAAGUUGACACUGAGGCAACUCAACCCUGACCCAUGGUGAGACAGCGGGGACAUCCGUGCUCCGUACUGCCACAACCAGCAGAGCUCAGCUGGCCAUGAUUGAUACUGAUGCUAUUAUUAGCCUAGGUCAGAGGGACUGUGUCAUGGUAUUGUGAGAAGGGCAUUUCUCUGCGAGUUACAAGGCACUUUUAGAGUUUUGCUGUGUUAGCGGAUCAACCCGAUUUAACGCAGCCUGAGUCUCAUGACUAUGUGUAAGUUAGCACAGUCCCUGACCAUGAAAGCACCUUCUAUCUGCGUUAAACAAAGAAUACAUUAAAGAAGCCAUGUGGUUACUGCUGCGGGACGUAUUGUAGUGGUUCAGGUGUGAAAGAGUGUGAAAGAGAUGUCAGUAGAUGAACAAAGGCUUUGAUUUCAGCAGUCAUUUGUUGUAAUAAAAUGUUUUAUGUUACCUUUAA
This is a long non-coding RNA of Salvelinus fontinalis (brook trout), 4321 nucleotides long. RefSeq lists it as uncharacterized. The record is from RefSeq and is a predicted model, not a curated record. NCBI's taxonomy places the organism in Eukaryota, Metazoa, Chordata, Actinopteri, Salmoniformes, Salmonidae. The transcript has 2 exons.